RNAcentral lists this ribosomal RNA (463 nucleotides) under uncultured bacterium. RNAcentral describes it as "partial 16S ribosomal RNA". It matches the Rfam family "Bacterial small subunit ribosomal RNA", at positions 28 to 507 of the family's 1533-position model. The record is from RNAcentral.
GACGAACGCUGGCGGCGUGCUUAACACAUGCAAGUCGAACGGAAAGGCCCUUGGGGGUACUCGAGUGGCGAACGGGUGAGUAACACGUGAGUAACCUGCCCUUGACUUCGGGAUAACUUCAGGAAACUGGGGCUAAUACCGGAUAGGAAUCCUUGCUGCAUGGUGGGGGUUGGAAAGCUUCGGCGGUUUUGGAUGGACUCGCGGCUUAUCAGCUUGUUGGUGGGGUAGUGGCUUACCAAGGCUUUGACGGGUAGCCGGCCUGAGAGGGCGACCGGCCACAUUGGGACUGAGAUACGGCCCAGACUCCUACGGGAGGCAGCAGUGGGGAAUAUUGCACAAUGGGCGGAAGCCUGAUGCAGCAACGCCGCGUGCGGGAUGACGGCCUUCGGGUUGUAAACCGCUUUCAGCAGGGGCGAAGCUUGUGGUGACGGUACCUGCAGAAGAAGCACCGGCUAACUACGUG